RNAcentral lists this ribosomal RNA (513 nucleotides) under uncultured bacterium. RNAcentral's name for it is "bacterial SSU rRNA". It matches the Rfam family "Bacterial small subunit ribosomal RNA", at positions 15 to 518 of the family's 1533-position model. The record is from RNAcentral.
GAUCCUGGCUUAGGAUGAACGCUAGCUACAGGCUUAACACAUGCAAGUCGAGGGGCAGCAUUGGGAUAGCUGCUAUUCAGAUGGCGACCGGCGCACGGGUGAGUAACGCGUAUCCAACCUUCCUGCCAGUAGGGAACAGCCCGGCGAAAGUCGGAUUAAUGCCCUAUGUUCUUCAAUGCGGACAUCUAAGUUGAAGGAAAGAUUCAUCGCUGGCAGAUGGGGAUGCGUCCGAUUAGCUUGCCGGCGGGGUAACGGCCCACCGGGGCGACGAUCGGUAGGGGUUCUGAGAGGAAGGUCCCCCACACUGGUACUGAGACACGGACCAGACUCCUACGGGAGGCAGCAGUGAGGAAUAUUGGUCAAUGGGCGUAAGCCUGAACCAGCCAAGUAGCGUGCAAGGAUGACGGCCCUACGGGUUGUAAACUGCUUUUAUGCGGGGAUAAAGUGCGGCACGUGUGCCGCUUUGCAGGUACCGCAUGAAUAAGGACCGGCUAAUUCCGUGCCAGCAGCCGC